Molecule: ribosomal RNA, 484 nt
Filed under: uncultured bacterium
Lineage: Bacteria
Description: partial 16S ribosomal RNA
Rfam family: Bacterial small subunit ribosomal RNA
Source: RNAcentral
AUUGAACGCUGGCGGCAGGCCUAACACAUGCAAGUCGAGCGGAUGAAGGGAGCUUGCUCCUGGAUUCAGCGGCGGACGGGUGAGUAAUGCCUAUGAAUCUGCCUGGUAGUGGGGGAUAACGUCCGGAAACGGGCGCUAAUACCGCAUACGUCCUGAGGGAGAAAGUGGGGGAUCUUCGGACCUCACGCUAUCAGAUGAGCCUAGGUCGGAUUAGCUAGUUGGUGGGGUAAGGGCCUACCAAGGCGACGAUCCGUAACUGGUCUGAGAGGAUGAUCAGUCACACUGGAACUGAGACACGGUCCAGACUCCUACGGGAGGCAGCAGUGGGGAAUAUUGGACAAUGGGCGAAAGCCUGAUCCAGCCAUGCCGCGUGUGUGAAGAAGGUCUUCGGAUUGUAAAGCACUUUAAGUUGGGAGGAAGGGCAGUAAGUUAAUACCUUGCUGUUUUGACGUUACCAACAGAAUAAGCACCGGCUAACUUCGUG